AUGCAUCUCUGACAGCCCUGGAGCAGUUCCUGUCUGCUGCUAAGGUUUCUACUACAGAUGCAAGAAAAAGAAGUCCUCGUGCUUUCUGUCUGUCUGAUUGUGGAAGCCAAGGAAAUCCUAA
Molecule: small nucleolar RNA, 121 nt
Filed under: Dasypus novemcinctus (nine-banded armadillo)
Lineage: Eukaryota; Metazoa; Chordata; Mammalia; Cingulata; Dasypodidae
Description: Small nucleolar RNA SNORA31 (ENSDNOG00000034229.1)
Source: RNAcentral